GAUGAACGCUGGCGGCGUGCCUAAUACAUGCAAGUCGAGCGAACGGACGAGAAGCUUGCUUCUCUGAUGUUAGCGGCGGACGGGUGGGUAACACGUGGAUAACCUACCUAUAAGACUGGGAUAACUUCGGGAAACCGGAGCUAACACCGGAUAAUAUUUUGAACCGCAUGGUUCAAAAGUGAAAGACGGUCUUGCUGUCACUUAUAGAUGGAUCUGCGCUGCAUUAGCUAGUUGGUAAGGUAACGGCUUACCAAGGCAACGAUGCAUAGCCGACCUGAGAGGGUGGUCGCCGACACUGGAACUGAGACACGGUCCAGAGUACUACGGGAGGCAGCAGUAUGGAAUCGUCCGCAGUAGGCGGGAGCCUGACGGAGCAACGCGGCGUGAGUGGUGGAGGUCUUGGGAUCGUAAAACUCUGUUAUGAGGGAAGAACAUAUGUGUAAGUAACUGUGGAGAGCUUGACGGUACCUGGUAAGAAAGCCACGGCUAACUACGUG
RNAcentral lists this ribosomal RNA (497 nucleotides) under uncultured bacterium. Its description in RNAcentral is "partial 16S ribosomal RNA". It matches the Rfam family "Bacterial small subunit ribosomal RNA", at positions 28 to 507 of the family's 1533-position model. The record is from RNAcentral.